RNAcentral lists this long non-coding RNA (1164 nucleotides) under Homo sapiens (human). RNAcentral's name for it is "HSALNT0148234". Lineage: Eukaryota; Metazoa; Chordata; Mammalia; Primates; Hominidae. The record is from RNAcentral.
ACUUGUUUUUGGUAAUUGGUAACUGGGACAAAGUUUAUUGAAAUAUCUUUAGCUCCCCAAAUGUGCACUGUCAUUGUUGCCACAGGUGAACUGCUCAUUGCAGUGAUGUGAAAAGGUGAGGUCACAGGACACAAACCCAUAUCUGAGACCUGGAUGCCUCCCUCCACGCACUCACCCACUGGCUGUCCUGAGCAUCACCCUGCACCUGUUGUCCCAGCAACAAGGGAAAAAUAAGGUCUAUUGCUCAGGCUGGAGUGAAGUGGUGCAAUUGUGGCUCACUGCAGCCUUGAAUACCUCAGCUCAAACGAUCCUCCCACCUCAGCCUCCUGAGUAGCUGGGACCACAGGCAUGUGCCACCACACUCAGCACACUUAAAAAAAAUUUUUGUAGAGACAGGUUCUCCCUAUGUUGCUCAGGCUGGUCUCCUGGCCUCAAGCAAUCCUCUUGCUUCAGCCUCCCAAAGUGUUGGGAUUAUAGGCAUAAGCCAUUCACACCCAGCCUAUUUUUAAGUUCUCUAAUAUAAUUUGGAAAUUAAUUUGCCAGCUGCCCUGUCUUAUCUGCAUGAACAUUUCCAAGAUUUGUAGAGGUGUUUCUAUGACACCUCCAUGCCUGUGAUCAUGUAUAAGAUGUAGCUGAUUGAAUUACCUUAUUCUGUUCAGAAAUAGUAAAUAUAGUGUUUUCACCAACUCUGUGCACAGAAUAUACCAAAUGGAGACCAUAAGUGUGUCAUGACAGAAAAAAUCUAUUGUCUCUUUAUUAUGGUGAGACUCCUUUCCCUCAUGAAAUCAGCAAAGAAAAGUAAAUGAAUUUAGCUUUUUGUGUUAGAAAAAAACAUUAUGCUCUUCAGCGGUUUUCAGAAUUGCAUUAUUUUUGAUCUUUCCUCUUGUUUAAGAAUGUUUUCAUGUCAUCCCCAGGCUCAGUGCUCAUGUUGGUACUAUUUUGGGUCAAUGUAUAAUCAUUACCUCCAGUUUUUCUUGUGCAUAAUGGACUUGAGUUUUAAUAUAGUGAACCAUCCUGACAUUGAAAUACUGUAUUUGAUAUUUUCAUAUUCACAAGUCCUCAUUUUCUUUCUACACUCAUGGUAAUUUAGUUUCUCCUCUGCAGUGUUUUCCCUCCUACUUGUUUUCCUGCUCCCUUGCUUAGCACAUGGUCAUUCCAUUAUGC